AAAACCACUCAAGCUCUUUUUGCUUGGUAUUGGGAGAUCGGAGCGUACCAUGAUGCACUCCCUCCCGAAAUCCAAUGGCGGAAAGCCUCAGGUGCCCCGGCGUAGUAAGUUUUCUUUCGCUCGGAACCAGAGGUGAUCCUGCCGCAAACCCCCAAUCACUUUUUUCA
This 167-nucleotide unclassified non-coding RNA is filed under the name Scutellinia cejpii. RNAcentral's name for it is "partial internal transcribed spacer 2". The record is from RNAcentral. Lineage: Eukaryota; Fungi; Ascomycota; Pezizomycetes; Pezizales; Pyronemataceae.